UCAUGCAGUAAUAAAAUACAUGGCAAUAUUUAUAGGGAUGCACCGAUACCACUUUUUUCAGACCAAGUACAAGUACUUACAUUUGGGUACUUGCCGAUACCAAGUACCGAUAUGAGUACUUCACACUUUUCGGAAUGCACCACGUCUGAAGCAUGUCAUCAAAUGGACCUGCUAUGGCUUGGCCAGUGUGCGAACCCCUAAACUGCGUUGCUUGUAAAACGACUCUCUGGGGAGUGAAACCCUCAUCAAUCCACUGUGCUGUUAAACUUAUCAGAGACAUUGGGCUGACACUGCUAAUCCAAAGAUCAGUGGUGAAGUCAUGCAGCUUUGGUAAUGCGGUAUCUGUAAUGUGGUGACGGCUGAGAAUCUCAUACUUCGGCUCAAGUACACCAAGAAGACGACGAAAUCCUGUACUAUGUACAACUGACAACGGUUGGUCAUCAAGAGCAAUGAACUGGGUAAGAGUUUCUGUUAUUAUUACUGCCCGUGGGUUGUCUCUGGACAUUUUCUCUCGCUUCUCCAGCGUUUGGUGCAAAGUUGGUUGUUGCUGUUUCCCGCUGCUAGCAUUAGCAAACUCUUUGCACUCGGCGUUAUGUUUGUUCUUUAGAUGUUUAAUCAAAUUGCUUGUGUUAAAUGAGCUAUUUUUACCCCUCCUCUUGACAGUUUAGCAGAGCAUAGUUUGCAGUCUGCUCUACUUUUAUCAUCACUUAUCUUAAAAUAUCUCCAAAUUGCUGACAUUGCUCUUCUUCCGACUACCUGCUCAACUGACGAGAGGUUAGGCUAUGUCACGUUGUCAUAAAGUGGUAUCGGUGCAGUUGUAUCGGGGUAGUUUUACAAGUACGAGUACGAGUACAUGAGCACAGUAUCAGGCCGACACCCGAGUACUGGUAUCGGUGCAUCCCUAAAUAUUUACAUAUGAUUUAAGAGUUUAUUUUGUAAAAUAUCAGAAAUCUAAGGAGGUAUGCGUUAUACCUGACACCUAGAUGAACACUUUACAGUGGGUUAUAUGACUGUAAGUCAUUCCCUUCAAAUGCUAUUGAAGUUAGAAUCGUGUUUAACAAUGUCGUAUGUAACUUUAGAGACGGUCCCUUAAUCUCCGCAUAUCCGCGAAUAUCGAACAAACCAACUUUAUUCCAGUGAAAUGCAGCUUAGCUAUCGAAAUUAAUUAGCACUUGAUACAGAAGAAUAAAAUGAUCAUAUGAUGAUGUGAUGCAGAUAGAGAGAGAAAACAAACACAUCCAAACAAAUCUUUAAGUUUAUUCUCUUUAAUUCUCUGAAUAAUCAUCAUUUACAACAUGAAACUGUAAUUAAUGGAGACUGGUUGUGUUAAAAGCAUCUAAAGCUCCGAGUUCACACACACACACACACAAGGAACAUGUGGAGGAGCAGGUGGACCUGGCCCUGUGCACCAGCAGCAUCAUUACGGGUCAUCCGUUAGUUGAAGGAGUGAGCUGACGGCUCCACUAACAGCAAAUAACAUUUUCAUACUUUAUGACGCUGCAUUUCCAGUCCAAACCCAUCAGCCGUGUGAUUGACAUCAUCUCCCAAACGGUGGAAUCCUGUCCUGCACUGUUCCCCAAAGGAACGUCACACAGAGGAUCAUCUCAGGAAAGUGGCGUGCACAUUGGCGCUGCAGAUGAUUUCCCGAACUGUUAGAAUCAGCGUGCGGCAGAUUAUAGACGCACACAGGAAGUCUUGGCCUUCAGGUCGUUCACUCCCCUGCACCGUUUCACUGUGGUGUGCAAUCAGCUGAAGGUUUUCUACACUUCCUUCUCUAAAGGUGCUGCUGAUGCUGAAGUGACAGAUGCAUCAGCGCGGUUAGAGAGGGAUGAGGAUUGCAGCUUUGUGGACAAAUUGACAGGUUGUGUGACUUGUGCUCUGUGUGUCGUACUGUAUUAACAGUUUGCAUUCCAAGUCUCCUCAGAUAUCAGCAGCUGGAUUGGAGGAGACUCGGGAACAUCUGAGCAUCACAGAUGAGCAGAAUCGACCCGGCCAGAACAGUCACGCUCCUGGAAGUGACGAAUGAUCCUCACAUCCCGCAGCUGAGGAUCAGGAGAAGAAAAAGAGGCUUGGAUUUCACUUUCUUCUGAGAACGAACAGGCGCGGGAUCAGACGUGGUGUUAGGAUAUGCAGGACUUUUUCCCUAAACGUUCUCCCGUGGUUUUGAGUUCAGUUUUGGGUGGAUUUUAUUUGUAGUUACUGAUUAUUGAAUGGUUUAUUUAACACCGGUCACUGGAUUUACAGCUUUAAUCACAUUCUUUACGGUUACUACUCAUCUGAGACGUGCGGUUCUGCUUCCUCAUUUGUCUUUUUUCCACAAAUCUCAGCAUCCCAACAAGUGGAAGAAGAAGCGGAGCAGAAAAAGAACCAAUCAAACAAAACAGAACGAUCAUAAAUAACCUCGUAACCGUCCGAAACAAAGAACUAAACACACAAACAAAAAUAAAAACAACUCUGAUGGUUUAAAAACUUACAAAAUAAUAAUAAUACACUAAAACAGUUCUGCUUUAAAACUGAUCUUUUCUCUCUUUUCUGCUUACAGUUAUGAUCACAUCACAGCCUUUCAACAGGACUGAUAAACUCGUGUACAAAUCUAUUUCAAACUUUUACUGUAUCUUUAGAUUUUAUUUUACACAUUUUGAAAUCACUUUCUACAGAUAUGAAUGACUUUACGUCUAUUUGUGAAUGUUUAUUAAGUGUGUAUAUAUUUAGUGAAUCUUACACGUGUGUGUGCGCGUAUGUGUGUGUGUGUGUGAAAGGUAUUGAUACUGUUUUAACUUCACUUUGACUUUUAUUUACUGCAUGGCAGUGAGGGGUUGUCUUUUUUCCCCCUUCUUUUAAUCAGUUUCUUUCCCUUCAGCAAUUCUCUCUUCUUCACAAGAGUCAUGUUCCUGUUCUAGAUUGAGGGAAAGAAGGUUCUGCCUGGGGCCCGAGAGCUCACACACUCUACAACUCUAUAAAGAACGUUAACAUUGUCAUUUAAUAUACACACACAUGCACAGACCUUCAUUUAUCAAUCUUUUAGUAAAGUGGUGUGUAAAUAUUUGUGUAAACAAAACCGAACUAAAACUUUCCACCGUAUUUACACCUCAGAAACGCUGAUUUUCUUCGUACCCGCGUGCGUUUGUUGAUCAGCUGUAAAUUGCGACGCACGCUCCCGACACGGCUCAUUUACAUUUAGCGACGCCCACAAAACUCCAUAAAAGAUGAGAGUGAAGAGAACGGAUCAUACUGAUUAUUUCUUAUCCAUGUGAAGACAGUUGGAAAAGAAAAUGAACGUUGGAUAAGAAACAGACUCUAUUUACAUUUUUCCUGGACAAUAAACUUCUGAAAUGAAUAAGGUGAACUGCUCCACAUCACUGUGUGUAUUUAUGAUGACCGUUAGAUACAUGACGUGUUCAGCGUGGCUCCAGACGGUGAGAUGGAGUAAUUCACCGUCUCCAUGCGGCAGGUCAGUAUUACAGCGUGGCUCUACUGAACACGGUCACUACCUACCUAACAUCACUGCUACGAGAGCUACACUGAGCACCACGAGGCUGUGAGCUGCACAAUUACAGGCGUGAUCCAGCAGCUGGGCGUCCUGCACCGUGGAGCGUAUGAGGCCCACGAAGCUCGACACUCUGGCGUACACGCCGGGUCGGUUCUUCUGAGCGCAUCCCAGUCCAAAACUCACAAUGCCCGCCUGGAUCCACGUGCCGUUCCCGGUGGAACAGACGAGCGGUCCGCCGGAGUCCCCCUGAGAGAGGAAACAUCCUAAAUUUCAAAACACUGACAUGAAGAUCCGAGUGUUGAUGUACACUUUAAGUAUAUCAGGUGCUAAAGGUGCCACCAGUUCAAAAGUGUCUCCACACCUGGAACAAUGUGAGUUCAGUCUUUUAGGACUAUGUAUUCAUUCCCAUAAACUCGGCCAAAUUCUGUAACAGACUGUGUGAGAAUAUAUUUCCAAAUGCAGGGCUGUGAAAAAGUAGUGAUUUCUUCUGAGUAAACACACAAUACGGGUUUUAAAUGAUCACGUUAUUUAUUGAAGCAAAAAAGUUCUCCAAAACCAACUGGGCAUUUGUGAAACUGUAUUUGCCCCCGUAGUUAUUAAUUCCCCACAUCUUUGACACUGCAUUGAUAAUGGGGUUCAGCUGGACGAGACACAACCAGACCUGAUUACUGCAAACCCUGUUCAAUCACAUCUACACUUACACAGAACUUUCUCAGCAGCAUGGAGUUGGUUAAAAGUUAUUUCCCAGUAACACACUACGGCAAAGCUGAAAGAAAUUCCAGAAAUGAUGAGGAAGAAGAUGAUUGAAGUACAUCAGUCUGGGAAGGGUUACAAAGCUAUUUCAAAGGCUCUGGGACUCCAAAGAACCACGGCGAGAGCCGUUAUCUUCAAAUGGAAAAACUCGGCACAGUAGUGAACCUUCCCAGAAGUGUCCGACCUUCCAAAAUUCCUCCAAGAGCACAGCGACGACUCAUCCAGGAAGUCACAGAAGAGCCAAGGACAACAUCAAAGGACCUACAGGCCUCUCCUGCAUCAAUAAAGGUCACUGUUCAUGACUCCACUAUCAGAAAGACACUGGGGGAAAACGGCUCCAUGGAAGAGUGGCGAGGUGAAAACCACUGCUAACCCAGAAGAACAUUAAGACUCGUCUGAAUUUCACCAAAACACACCUCGAUGAUCCUCAAACCUUUUGGGAGAAUGUCCUGUGGACUGAUGAGUCGAAGUGGAACUGUCUGAGACGGGUGUCCCGUCACAUCUGGCGUAAACCAGACACAGAAUUCCACAAAAAGAACAUCAUACCUACGGUCAAGCAUGGUGGAGGCAGUGUGAUGGUGUGGGGAUGCUUUACUGCUUCAGGGUCUGGGCAACUUGCAGUAAUUGAGGGAAACAUGAAUUCUGCUCUCUACCAGAAAAUCCUAAAGGAGAAUGUCCGGUCUUCAGUCCAUAAGCUGAAACUCAAGCUAAAUUAAAGUUUUGGAGCGGCCUAGUCAAAGGCCUGACUUGAACCAAUUGGCAGGACCUUAAACGGACAGUUCAUGCUCGAAAACCCUUAGAUGUGGCUGAACUAAAGCAGUUCUUCAAAGAAGAGUGGGCCAGAAUUCCACCACAGCGCUGUGAAAGACUGAUCUCCAGCUAUCUGAAGAGUUUGGUUGCAGUUAUUGCUGAUAAAAGUGGCACAACCAAAUUUUAAGUUUAAGGGGGCAAUUAGUUUUCACACAGGUGAUUUCUGCCGUAGUGCAAGUGUUUAGAGGUGAGUGUUUGUGGUUACUACCUGACAUGAGUCCUUGCCCCCCUCCUGGUAUCCAGCACAGAUCAUGUCUGACAGGAUGGACACCGUGUCCGCGUUAGACGCAUCGAUCUGGUACAUGGAGUUGCAGGAAUCUUGGUCAAUAAUGGGCACUCCGACUUCCCGUAGCGUCCCGACUCCAGACAGCGAGACUGUAGAGGGAAGAACGGCAUUGUACUGUCACACUGCACUGAAACUGAUCAUUAUUACACACACACUUCACUUCAGGUUGAGUUAAAGAGUUUCAGUUACGUGAUUUUCCUUUUAUUUAAUUAACUAACUUUUGUUAAUGUUAGCAAAACUUGCUGCUGAGAUAAACUUGAGUUGUCACAUAAUGUACAAGCUAGCUUUCAUAGCUAUGAGGCAGCAUGAUGUGGAGGACCUACUGCACUUCUGCUUUGUUGAAGAUUGAAGAUUGUUGAAGAUACUUAAUGAAGCAGGGAUACAAUAACACUGAAGCAGGCACGCCCAUAUUCGCCCAUAUACGGUGUGAUGUCACGUGAAACUUGUUCUUACUGGUUAAUGAGAAUGGCGAGAGAAAAAGCUCUGAUUGCUUUCAAUGGAAUUCCACAAGAAUUUAAAACCAGGAAACGACAAAGUGCAGUAAAACAGCUGUGAGAGGGAAAUAAGUACAGUAGAAAAUCUCAGAUUAAUGAAUGCAUAAUUCCACUCCAUCAUUGGUUUAUUCCUGCAUCUCAGUGGGAUUUAUGAGUGCUGCCAGAGCUGGUAGUUAGAGAACAUAGGAGCAGGCGAGAUUAAAGUAUUAAAUCUUUCCUCAAACGUGUGUGUGUGUGUGUGUAAUAAUCCAGAUUACUGAUAUUAUUCGUGUUAACCCUGCAGAGGCCUUUCAGAUCCAGUGUGUUGGUGUUAAACACUUAAGCAGGUAUUUAAAUAUCUGUGCAUAUCUCUAAUCUAUUCCAUCUCAAAAGGUCUCGUAUGACCCAAAAACCCACACACCCCUCUGUGUUUUCAGUCAUGGCUCGAUGAUGUCUCAGCUAACCGAGGCAACGAGUUCAUGUAAACCGAUAGCACCGUUUAUUUAUCUAGCCGAGUGGCAUCCUGCUGUGUCAUGUCCUUCAGCCUGUGACGUAGCACAUGGUUCCAGCGUAGAACUGGAAGUCGGCGUUGGGCAGACACACGGGCUGGAUCUGGUUUGUCCAGGUGAGCGGCGAGCUCAG
This is a long non-coding RNA of Ictalurus furcatus (blue catfish), 6454 nucleotides long. RefSeq lists it as uncharacterized. The transcript is spliced from 4 exons. The record is from RefSeq and is a predicted model, not a curated record. Lineage: Eukaryota; Metazoa; Chordata; Actinopteri; Siluriformes; Ictaluridae.